UCCCUCGAGCCGGAUUUGAACAAGCAACCUAAGAAACACCGUUGAUACAUCUACAGUUCUUCAUUCUUCCAAUUGAGCUAUUGAGGG
Cordylochernes scorpioides is the source of this 87-nucleotide non-coding RNA. Lineage: Eukaryota; Metazoa; Arthropoda; Arachnida; Pseudoscorpiones; Chernetidae. The record is from the annotation of a GenBank genome assembly.